Molecule: small nucleolar RNA, 90 nt
Organism: Lotus japonicus
Lineage: Eukaryota; Viridiplantae; Streptophyta; Magnoliopsida; Fabales; Fabaceae
Product: small nucleolar RNA snoR109
Exons: 1
Source: RefSeq, a predicted model, not a curated record
CGGCUGUAGCGAAAUUGAAUCGAUGAGAAGCUAUCUGGCCGGUUGUUGCGAAAUUAAUCAACAUAUCUGCUUACCGAGCUUCUUACAUUU